RNAcentral lists this ribosomal RNA (444 nucleotides) under uncultured bacterium. RNAcentral describes it as "bacterial SSU rRNA". It matches the Rfam family "Bacterial small subunit ribosomal RNA", at positions 355 to 796 of the family's 1533-position model. The record is from RNAcentral.
UAAGGAAUAUUGGUCAAUGGACGCAAGUCUGAACCAGCCAUGCCGCGUGGAGGAUGAAGGUCCUCUGGAUUGUAAACUUCUUUUAUCUGGGACGAAAAAGGGCCUUUCUAGGCCAACUGACGGUACCAGAUGAAUAAGCACCGGCUAACUCCGUGCCAGCAGCCGCGGUAAUACGGAGGGUGCAAGCGUUAUCCGGAUUCACUGGGUUUAAAGGGUGCGUAGGCGGGCAUGUAAGUCCGUGGUGAAAUCUCCGAGCUUAACUCGGAAACUGCCAUGGAUACUAUGUGUCUUGAAUGUUGUGGAGGUGAGCGGAAUAUGUCAUGUAGCGGUGAAAUGCUUAGAUAUGACAUAGAACACCAAUUGCGAAGGCAGCUCACUACACAAAUAUUGACGCUGAGGCACGAAAGCGUGGGGAUCAAACAGGAUUAGAUACCCCCGUAGUCC